CGUGCACCAGUGGGGUCCCUCAGCCUGGCCUGUGGGGGUAGGGCCAAAAUCGGCUCUCUAACAUCUCCUGAGAGGUCCUGGAUUGUGAGAGGGCACAGGCCAGGCUGAGGGACCCCACUGGUGUACU
Molecule: microRNA precursor, 127 nt
Filed under: Myotis lucifugus (little brown bat)
Lineage: Eukaryota; Metazoa; Chordata; Mammalia; Chiroptera; Vespertilionidae
Description: mir-9193 microRNA precursor family
Source: Rfam by way of RNAcentral